This is a non-coding RNA of Mustela putorius furo (domestic ferret), 98 nucleotides long. NCBI's taxonomy places the organism in Eukaryota, Metazoa, Chordata, Mammalia, Carnivora, Mustelidae. The record is from Rfam.
CCCUCUCGCCUCCCUCCCCCCCCCCCCCCGUCAAGCCUUUGGCAUCAUUAUCCUCAUCACUAAAUCCUACAGAGUACAGGGCGGAAAACGGUGCACAC